This is a long non-coding RNA of Pogona vitticeps (central bearded dragon), 1614 nucleotides long. NCBI's taxonomy places the organism in Eukaryota, Metazoa, Chordata, Lepidosauria, Squamata, Agamidae. The record is from Ensembl.
UUUUAGCAAAAUAUUUAUUUUUUACAAGAAAAAAAAUAAGUUGCCCGUUUUGUUUCCAUGUAGGUUGAUUGAGGUAAAGAACAGUGACUGUUGGGGUCAUCAAGCUUGCUCCUGGUCGUAAACCUGGCCCCACCCUCACGUGCUUGUAUUGAACUAACCACAGUUCUGAGCUGGUCUCAUGAUAUCAAAAUGACACGUCCUCCCUCGAUCCUAAAACAAGAUAGAGGAUCAGUCCUGCUUUUUGUAGAGCUAACCUGAGCCAGUUUUGUGAUGUUUUGGAAGUCCCUUGGGAACAUUCAGCUGUCUUAUUACAGAUGCAAAAAACUGGGACCUUCGCCAGCUUUAGAGCAGGAAUUCUGCUUUAUAAUUGAUGGAGGGACUUCCUGGAAGUCAAAAGAACCACCUUUAGUUUUAUGGCUUCACCUUCAUAAUUAAAGCUGAAGACACUGCAUGAGAGAAUGAGGAACAAAGAACGAGGGGUGUGACAUUUGCCACAGGGCCUUGAAGCAGAUCCCAGCACACCCGCCCCUCAACAUCCCUCUAAUUGCAUUUAAAAAAAAUAAGACUGAUAAUAUUCCCUGUGGAAUGUGAGGCCAGUUUGCCAUGUUUUUGCCUCCCCACAUGUAUCUAUGCCUUCCUGAAUUAUAACUUCCUUUAAAAAAAUAACAAUAAUGUGACCACUAGAGGGCAGGAUACAGCUUUUUAAAAAAUAUUUCCUGGAAAAGCACCCUCACGCCCUCUAGUGACCAGAGGUGAGUGUGUUCUAGAGUUCUAGAAUCGGCCCUUGGAGUUCUACAAUCGGCCACCCCUGCAGUGGCAGGAUAUAGAACAAGAAAUGUAUUCUAUAAAUGAAAUAAUCGUUUUAUGUCUGUAAAGUAAAAUGUACAAUAUAGAAAAUAGAUCAAUGAGACCUUCAACAAAAUUUUUGUAGUGGGGACUGCUCAUGUUUGGGCAUCCAGACUUUUGCUAGUAUACUCCAUUCUGUUCUCUCUCUCUCCCCCCCCUCUACCUCCCAUUUCCCCUUCUUCACUGUCAGUCAGUAUUCUGUGCCACAAAACUUACUCAGGUCUCAUUAUCGUAUCCUGAGGCCUAACCACCACCAUUUUAGAGUUUUAAGAGAAUAUCUGCUCUUUUUUCUGCAAACAUUUAGAUGGUGGUAUUUUAUGUACAUAAGUAACUGUACUUGAAGAAUGAGUAUGCUCAUUGGCGAGAUCCUGAGUCCAAUGAAUGGGGCCCUAUUUAAAGAGAGGAGCAGUCUUAGAUGUAGCUGCCCAGUUUAGAGACUGACACCCUCCAGAACAGGGUCGAAGAUUGAGAAGUGACACGUAGUCUUGUAGGUGGAAAGGGAAUUGACUAAAAUGAUCCAACAUCUGUUGUGAAAGUCUUUACUGCCUGUGCUUCAUCAAACUCCCUUCCAUUCACAGAAGUCCAAGCCAUAAUACUCUGUGUGUUAUUUACAGUCCCUGGAAGCAGUUAGUUGUGAGCAAUGCACAUGUAAUACCAUGACUUGUAACUAGUUACUUUGUUUAGAUGCAAUGCAACUAAUAGUUCCAAAUUACUUUAUCACUGGUAGCUUGGCUGUUACAAAUAAAUAAUGCCUAAGUUACUGAGACA